Molecule: ribosomal RNA, 815 nt
Filed under: uncultured bacterium
Lineage: Bacteria
Description: bacterial SSU rRNA
Rfam family: Bacterial small subunit ribosomal RNA
Source: RNAcentral
AGAGUUUGAUCCUGGCUCAGAACGAACGCUGGCGGCGUGGAUAAGACAUGCAAGUCGAGCGCUGAUUACAGGGUAGCAAUAUUCUGUGGUCGGAGCGGCGCAAGGGUGCGUAACACGUGGGUAAUCUGCCAUGAAGUUUGGAAUAACUUGCUGAAAGGCGAGCUAAUACCGGAUGUGACGAUCGGAAGGCAUCUUCUGAUUUUCAAAGCUGGGGACCGUAAGGCCUGGCGCUUCAUGAUGAGCCCGCGGCCUAUCAGCUAGUUGGUGAGGUAACGGCUCACCAAGGCUAAGACGGGUAGCUGGUCUGAGAGGACGACCAGCCACACUGGAACUGAGACACGGUCCAGACACCUACGGGUGGCAGCAGUCGAGAAUUUUUCACAAUGGGCGCAAGCCUGAUGGAGCGACGCCGCGUGGGGGAUGAAUGGCUUCGGCCCGUAAACCCCUGUCAUUUGCGAACAAUUCGGUUCAAUUAACACCUGAACCGUUGAUAGUAGCGAAAGAGGAAGGGACGGCUAACUCUGUGCCAGCAGCCGCGGUAAUACAGAGGUCCCAAGCGUUGUUCGGAUUCACUGGGCGUAAAGGGUGCGUAGGUGGUGAGGUAAGUCGGAUGUGAAAUCUCCGAGCUCAACUCGGAAACUGCAUUGGAAACUACCUUGCUCGAGGGUUGGAGGGGGGACUGGAAUGCUUGGUGUAGCAGUGAAAUGCGUAGAUAUCAAGCGGAACACCAGUGGCGAAGGCGAGUCCCUGGACAACUCCUGACACUGAGGCACGAAAGCUAGGGGAGCAAACAGGAUUAGAUACCCUAGUAGUCC